This 503-nucleotide ribosomal RNA is filed under the name uncultured bacterium. RNAcentral's name for it is "bacterial SSU rRNA". It matches the Rfam family "Bacterial small subunit ribosomal RNA", at positions 28 to 509 of the family's 1533-position model. The record is from RNAcentral.
GACGAACGCUGGCGGCGUGCCUCAAACAUGCAAGUCGUACGAGAAAGCCGGCUUCGGCUGGUGAGUAAAGUGGCGCACGGGUGAGUAACGCGUGGAUAAUCUGCCCUUAAGUGUGGAAUAACGUACCGAAAGGUGCGCUAAUACCGCAUAAUGCCUGGCAACACAAGUUGUCCGGCCAAAGAAGGCCUCUGUUUACAAGCUUUCGCUUCAGGAUGAGUCCGCGUACCAUUAGCUUGUUGGUGGGGUAAUGGCCUACCAAGGCUGCGAUGGUUAGCUGGUCUGAGAGGAUGAUCAGCCACACUGGAACUGAGACACGGCCCAGACUCCUACGGGAGGCAGCAGUGGGGAAUAUUGGGCAAUGGGCGAAAGCCUGACCCAGCGACGCCGCGUGGGUGAUGAAGGCCUUCGGGUUGUAAAACCCUUUCGUGCGGAAGAAUAGUCCUGUAGCGAAUAACUACGGGAUUGACGGUACCGCAGGAAGAAGCACCGGCUAACUCCGUGCC